Molecule: ribosomal RNA, 471 nt
Filed under: uncultured organism
Description: partial 16S ribosomal RNA
Rfam family: Bacterial small subunit ribosomal RNA
Source: RNAcentral
ACACUCCUGCGGGAGGCAGCAGUGAGGAAUAUUGGACAAUGGGUGGAAGCCUGAUCCAGCCAUCCCGCGUGCAGGAAGACGGCCCUAUGGGUUAUAAACUGCUUUUAUCUGGGGAUAAACCUACUUACGUGUAAGUAGCUGAAGGUACCAGAAGAAUAAGCACCGGCUAACUCCGUGCCAGCAGCCGCGGUAAUACGGAGGGUGCAAGCGUUAUCCGGAUUUAUUGGGUUUAAAGGGUCCGUAGGCGGACUGAUAAGUCAGUGGUGAAAUCCGACAGCUUAACUGUCGAACUGCCAUUGAUACUGUUAGUCUUGAGUAAGGUUGAAGUGGCUGGAAUAAGUAGUGUAGCGGUGAAAUGCAUAGAUAUUACUUAGAACACCAAUUGCGAAGGCAGGUCACUAAGUCUUAACUGACGCUGAUGGACGAAAGCGUGGGGAGCGAACAGGAUUAGAAACCCCGGUAGUCCCAUGA